RNAcentral lists this ribosomal RNA (1045 nucleotides) under Bacillus licheniformis. RNAcentral's name for it is "bacterial SSU rRNA". It matches the Rfam family "Bacterial small subunit ribosomal RNA", at positions 8 to 1026 of the family's 1533-position model. The record is from RNAcentral. Lineage: Bacteria; Bacillati; Bacillota; Bacilli; Caryophanales; Bacillaceae.
AGAGUUUGAUCCUGGCUCAGGACGAACGCUGGCGGCGUGCCUAAUACAUGCAAGUCGAGCGGACCGACGGGAGCUUGCUCCCUUAGGUCAGCGGCGGACGGGUGAGUAACACGUGGGUAACCUGCCUGUAAGACUGGGAUAACUCCGGGAAACCGGGGCUAAUACCGGAUGCUUGAUUGAACCGCAUGGUUCAAUCAUAAAAGGUGGCUUUUAGCUACCACUUGCAGAUGGACCCGCGGCGCAUUAGCUAGUUGGUGAGGUAACGGCUCACCAAGGCGACGAUGCGUAGCCGACCUGAGAGGGUGAUCGGCCACACUGGGACUGAGACACGGCCCAGACUCCUACGGGAGGCAGCAGUAGGGAAUCUUCCGCAAUGGACGAAAGUCUGACGGAGCAACGCCGCGUGAGUGAUGAAGGUUUUCGGAUCGUAAAGCUCUGUUGUUAGGGAAGAACAAGUACCGUUCGAAUAGGGCGGUACCUUGACGGUACCUAACCAGAAAGCCACGGCUAACUACGUGCCAGCAGCCGCGGUAAUACGUAGGUGGCAAGCGUUGUCCGGAAUUAUUGGGCGUAAAGCGCGCGCAGGCGGUUUCUUAAGUCUGAUGUGAAAGCCCCCGGCUCAACCGGGGAGGGUCAUUGGAAACUGGGGAACUUGAGUGCAGAAGAGGAGAGUGGAAUUCCACGUGUAGCGGUGAAAUGCGUAGAGAUGUGGAGGAACACCAGUGGCGAAGGCGACUCUCUGGUCUGUAACUGACGCUGAGGAGCGAAAGCGUGGGGGAGCGAACAGGAUUAGAUACCCUGGUAGUCCACGCCGUAAACGAUGAGUGCUAAGUGUUAGAGGGUUUCCGCCCUUUAGUGCUGCAGCAAACGCAUUAAGCACUCCGCCUGGGGAGUACGGUCGCAAGACUGAAACUCAAAGGAAUUGACGGGGGGCCCGCACAAGCGGUGGAGCAUGUGGUUUAAUUCGAAGCAACGCGAAGAACCUUUACCAGGGUCUUGACAUCCUCUGGACAACCCUAGAGAAUAGGGCUUCCCCCUUUCGGGG